UACGUAGGGUGCGAGCGUUGUCCGGAAUUACUGGGCGUAAAGAGCUCGUAGGUGGUUUGUCGCGUUGUCCGUGAAAACUCACAACUCAAUUGUGGGCGUGCGGGCGAUACGGGCAGACUGGAGUACUGCAGGGGAGACUGGAAUUCCUGGUGUAGCGGUGAAAUGCGCAGAUAUCAGGAAGAACACCCGUGGCGAAGGCGGUUCUCUGGGACGGUACUGACGCUGAGACGCGAAAGCGUGGGGAGCGAACAGG
This 253-nucleotide ribosomal RNA is filed under the name uncultured bacterium. RNAcentral describes it as "partial 16S ribosomal RNA". It matches the Rfam family "Bacterial small subunit ribosomal RNA", at positions 524 to 776 of the family's 1533-position model. The record is from RNAcentral.